RNAcentral lists this ribosomal RNA (468 nucleotides) under uncultured bacterium. Its description in RNAcentral is "partial 16S ribosomal RNA". It matches the Rfam family "Bacterial small subunit ribosomal RNA", at positions 28 to 507 of the family's 1533-position model. The record is from RNAcentral.
GAUGAACGCUGGCGGCGUGCCUAAUACAUGCAAGUCGAGCGGACAGGCGCGGAGCUUGCGGGGCGCACGAGAGGGGAAGGGGGGAGAAAAACGCGUGUAUACCGUCCCUGAAUGAGGGAGAUAACCAGGAAAAAGGGGCGAUAACAGGAGAGGAGAUUUUGCACCGUGGGGGGGGAUAGUAAGAUUCGGUGGUUGGGGAUGGACUAGCGGGUUAUCCGCUUGUUGGGGGGGUAGUGGCUUACAAGGGGUAUGACGGGUAGCCUGCCUGGGAGGGUGACCGGCCACAUUGCGACUGCGAUACGGCCCAGACUCCUACGGGAGGCAGCAGUGGGGAAUAUUGCACAAUGGGCGGAAGCCUGAUGCAGCAACGCCGCGUGCGGGAUGACGGCCUUCGGGUUGUAAACCGCUUUCGCCUGUGACGAAGCGUGAGUGACGGUAAUGGGUAAAGAAGCACCGGCUAACUACGUG